CCAGAACCCCUGGGCUCAAGUGCUGGGAUUACAGACGUGAGUCACCAUGCCCAGCUGGGGUUCAGUCUUGAUGGGUGGGGAGGACCAGGCCUGGUGAAUUUGCGGAGAAAGGGCCUUCCAGGAGGAAAUAGUACAAACAAAGCGGGGAAGAUGGCCAGAAAGAAGCAAAGAAGAUGACAAGACCAACUGGAGGUGAUAACUGGGAGAAACAUCUGUGUUGAAGGACGAGGCGUGAAUUGAGAAGGUCUGAUCCAUCAGGGAACAGCAGAAACUCUGAGACCAACAACACUAUAUUAUUUUCUAACCACUGAUCUACUGACCAGACUUCAGGCUUCUCAAGCUAUUCGCC
RNAcentral lists this long non-coding RNA (349 nucleotides) under Homo sapiens (human). Its description in RNAcentral is "HSALNT0236939". The record is from RNAcentral. Lineage: Eukaryota; Metazoa; Chordata; Mammalia; Primates; Hominidae.